Molecule: microRNA precursor, 61 nt
Organism: Echeneis naucrates (live sharksucker)
Lineage: Eukaryota; Metazoa; Chordata; Actinopteri; Carangiformes; Echeneidae
Source: Ensembl
UUAAGACUUGCAGUGAUGUUUAGGGCAUUGAUCACAUGAACAUCACUUUAAGUCUGUGCUG